GCAUGCGCCCGCCCAGUGCCCGCCCCUCAACCUGGAGUUGAUGUCACAUCCGGCGGCGGCGGCAGCGGUGCUGAGUUUUGUCUCCCGGGUCGUGGGGGCGCGCGCGGAUGUCCCAGGUGUCCCGCCGUCUCCCUCCUUUCCGCAGGACUCGCCCCUCCUGGCCCUGGGCCCCAACGGUGCCCGCCUGCCCGGAGGUCGGUCAGCGCAAAGGGCACGGCUUCCUCUGCUUCUCCCGGACCACUUAGUCUCAACCCGGAAUGAAAUAUGACUGACGACUCUCAGAGAAACUUUCGUUCAGUAUAUUAUGAGAAAGUAGGGUUUCGUGGAGUUGAAGAAAAGAAAUCAUUAGAAAUUCUCCUAAAAGAUGACCGUCUGGAUACAGAGAAACUUUGUACUUUUAGUCAGCGGUUCCCUCUCCCAUCCAUGUACCGUGCAUUGGUAUGGAAGGUGCUUCUAGGAAUUCUGCCUCCACACCAUGAGUCCCAUGCCAAGGUGAUGAUGUAUCGUAAGGAGCAGUACUCGGAUGUCCUUCAUGCCCUGAAAGUCGUUCGCUUUGUUAGUGAUGCCACACCUCAGGCUGAAGUCUAUCUCCGCAUGUAUCAGCUGGAGUCUGGGAAGUUACCUCGAAGUCCCUCUUUUCCACUGGAGCCAGAAGAUGAAGUAUUUCUUGCUAUAGCUAAAGCCAUGGAGGAAAUGGUGGAAGACAGCGUCGACUGUUACUGGAUCACCCGACGCUUUGUGAACCAAUUAAAUACCAAGUACCGGGAUUCUUUACCCCAGUUGCCAAAAGCGUUUGAACAAUACUUGAAUCUGGAAGACGGCAGACUGCUGACUCAUCUGAAGAUGUGUUCCGCGGCGCCCAAACUUCCUUAUGAUCUCUGGUUCAAGAGGUGCUUUGCGGGAUGUUUGCCUGAAUCCAGUUUACAGAGCUGGAGACUGGCUUGUCCUCUUCUGGAUGGAGGCUUUGAAUGGACCCCAGGACCAUGGACCCCAGGGACCCCCCUGCCCCAUCCCCGCCACACUGGGACAAGGUGUCAGUGACCACUCCAGGGAAGCUUCAUUGCUCAGUGCCCGAAGGCCCUUGUUAAAAACCCUGGUUGUCCCUGAGGUGGUCACCACAACAUGGCCACAUCAACAGCGUCCCUCACAGGACUCCCAGACCACACACACCAGAAGGGUCUGCCCGGGAAGCCUGAGCAGAGUGAUGGAGCAGGGGACGGGAAGUGAGGCUGGCGGAAGUGAGCAAGGACCACACUGUCACUGCGGAUGCCACACUGCAGAGCCAUCAUCUGUUAAAUUAGAACCCGGGAGAUCAGGGGAUUGACGGUCACCACACUCACUCCUAUACAAAGACAAACUAUGUACAGACACCCAGGAAGCCACUGGAAAAUGCAACCGGUCUGGGGAUUAACAGACAGAUAGGGAGAAAAAGUCAUUGAAGGUGACCUUUGCCCACCGGCUGUGCACAGGGAGAACCUGAAAUUCCAUUCAUCGAAGCAACACACCACGAUUUUCAUUCGGCAAAUAAAAAUACAUGUUCAUAAGCGGGAGAAAAAUAAAAUCAGAGCUUUUCAUCACAUUUACCGUCACGUUGUUUGGUUUCUCUAAUCUGACAUAAAGGCUAAAGUUUUAAAAGUUUUACAGGGCUUUGAGGGCCUUUGGAGAUGAAUAUAUCAGCCAUUUAAAAAAAGCUAGUAGGCUGAUGGCGAUCUCUUCUGUCAUUGAUUGGGGGCAGGGGGCAGGAUCGGGCAAUGUCUAAUCUUUAGAAGGAAGCAUUUGAUUUGAGACAUUUCACAUUUUUCCUCUCACACUAAUCCAAAUGAAAAAAUGCUCAACUGGGAAUUUAUACACAUAAAAUAAACUUUGACUUGCCAGCUGCAGCUUUUUCAAAAAAGAGAUGCAUUUUAAGUCAUCUAGCUCACCCUUUUAUUUUUUCCCUUAAUUAAUGUCAAAUUGUCAUCUUGGAAAGUAACACAAAUUGCUACAGUUGUCAUGAUGUUGUAGCUGAGAAAAAAAGAAAGAAAAUUGAAUAGGUCUCUGGAAAGACCUUAAGGUUUUAAGAAAGGAAAGAGACAGCAGAAGGCCCAUCCUGCAGGCCACAGAGGUUGCUGAGCCUGUGUAAGAGCCACUUAAAACAGGCUUGAAAUAGCCCAUCCUGAAGGCGCAGGACCUGUCAAUGGCAGGGGAGGUGCACCCCUCAGUCUGAGCAAGUGACUUCUGGAAAAGAGGUCCUGCAGGAAGAGCAGUGGAAAUUGUGUUCAAUAUCUUCCAUGCACAAAGUGGACUGCAACACGAGGGCACUUUGGGCGGAAACCCUGGGCUGUUUGCUGGCUGGCUGCAGGGAGAGCCACUUGGGCCUUAUAUCCCCAGGGAAUCUGAAGGGCCAAGAACCAAGGCCAGCAGAGAAGCCACGGGCCUGUCAUGGGAGGGAGUCCAGUCAAUGGAAUGAAUUUCCUUAGGACUCGCUCCUGGUCAUGGAGGACCAUCAUGCCAGUGCACCACGUGUGCCAGGAGCCCAGCUGCAGUUAGAGGAAGUUCAGACUCAAAGCCUGGCCGGCAGGCACCUCCACCUGGAACACAUGCCCGCCCACCCGCCGUAGAGAAGUUCAACGAAAGAGCCCUGCAUCUUUCGUCAUACCAUUUGCACAUUCAAACGUCAGUAAGCCUUUCGGGAAGACUGUGUUUACAGCCACACUAAAAUCCCGAUCACAUUUUCCCUGAACAAUACCUCUCCCCACGGCAGGAACUAUUCGGAUUCAAGAGUUUAAAAAAAAAAAAAAAAAAAAAAGGAUCUAGUGAUGGCAUCCUCCUUGGGUUGGGCAGAGGCGUGCUGGCUCCAGGUGGCAAGGCAAAGCUGCAGCUGGAGGCACCGCCCAAAGAGCUGCCCUGAACUCUCCCCAGCAGUUGUCCGGCUCCUGGGUUAGUGCCUACAUGAGAGCCGUUCAUGCCUGCAAAAAAAUGCAAUGGCCUCGUUGACAGGUGUGCAUCCUAAGAGUAACCUUCUCCCACAGGGUUCGUGGUGGGAGACUGGUUAACUUUUUGGAAAGGCCAAGCUGGCAUCUUUCUAAAUGGCAUGUGUGGUGGAGAGUGUGCCACCACCUAGAAAGACUGGGGUAACAAUGGAGUCACUCCAGAAAGUGAGAGAGCUCUGUGACUGAGGAUCUGCGAGCUCUGUUAGGAAGGAAAACGAAAGCUGCAAUGGGCCUCAUUAGGAUGCUUGUUAGGGUUUAGGAGGGUCCUGGCCUCAUUGCACACCCUACCCUGGGUAUCCCAGUCAGAGACAUACCCACAAUCACGCUUCCCGGCAUCAUGAGGGAGAGGGAAGAGCUCUCUGGAUCAACUGGAGCAGGAAGGGGCACUGUGGGCAGCUGUGGCUGGUGUUGGCCUGAUUCUGGCACAUGCCCAACUCCGGGGCUCCUUCACAGAAACUCUUCAGUGCAAAAA
RNA transcript from Piliocolobus tephrosceles (Ugandan red Colobus), 3444 nucleotides. It is a transcript of the gene named TBC1 domain family member 7, with no coding region annotated. The record is from RefSeq and is a predicted model, not a curated record. The transcript has 9 exons. NCBI's taxonomy places the organism in Eukaryota, Metazoa, Chordata, Mammalia, Primates, Cercopithecidae.